GACGAACGCUGGCGGCGUGCUUAACACAUGCAAGUCGAACGGAAAGGCCCUGCUUUUGUGGGGUGCUCGAGUGGCGAACGGGUGGGUAACACGUGAGUAACCUGCCCUUGACUUUGGGAUAACUUCAGGAAACUGGGGCUAAUACCGGAUAGGAGCUCCUGCGGCAUGGUGGGGGUUGGAAAGUUUCGGCGGUUGGGGAUGGACUCGCGGCUUAUCAGCUUGUUGGUGGGGUAGUGGCUUACCAAGGCUUUGACGGGUAGCCGGCCUGAGAGGGUGACCGGCCACAUUGGGACUGAGAUACGGCCCAGACUCCUACGGGAGGCAGCAGUGGGGAAUAUUGCACAAUGGGCGGAAGCCUGAUGCAGCAACGCCGCGUGCGGGAUGACGGCCUUCGGGUUGUAAACCGCUUUCGCCUGUGACGAAGCGUGAGUGACGGUAAUGGGUAAAGAAGCACCGGCUAACUACGUG
RNAcentral lists this ribosomal RNA (468 nucleotides) under uncultured bacterium. Its description in RNAcentral is "partial 16S ribosomal RNA". It matches the Rfam family "Bacterial small subunit ribosomal RNA", at positions 28 to 507 of the family's 1533-position model. The record is from RNAcentral.